This is a non-coding RNA of Paramuricea clavata, 233 nucleotides long. NCBI's taxonomy places the organism in Eukaryota, Metazoa, Cnidaria, Anthozoa, Malacalcyonacea, Plexauridae. The record is from the annotation of a GenBank genome assembly.
GAACAGAUUGUUAUCACCUUGUUACAAGGUUGCUGACGGACUUGACGGUAACAACUUGCUCCACGUUGUUCCAACAAGACUAAUACAGGCUGUUCGUAACAAAUUGCUACGAGCUUGUUGUCAUCAACUUGUUAACAACUUGUUACGUGCAGACGCUAUCAGACUUGUUGGAACAACUUGUUGCGAGUUUGUCGUAUUCAUCAACCUUGUUACAAGAUGAUAACAACUUUUUC